GACGAACGCUGGCGGCGCGCCUAACACAUGCAAGUCGAACGGAGCUUAAAGAGCUUGCUUUUUAAGCUUAGUGGCGAACGGGUGAGUAACGCGUGAGUAACCUGCCCUGGAGUGGGGGACAACAGUUGGAAACGACUGCUAAUACCGCAUAAGCCCACGGAUCCGCAUGGAUCUGCGGGAAAAGGAUUUAUUCGCUUCAGGAUGGACUCGCGUCCAAUUAGCUAGUUGGUGAGGUAACGGCCCACCAAGGCGACGAUUGGUAGCCGGACUGAGAGGUUGAACGGCCACAUUGGGACUGAGACACGGCCCAGACUCCUACGGGAGGCAGCAGUGGGGGAUAUUGCACAAUGGGGGAAACCCUGAUGCAGCGACGCCGCGUGGAGGAAGAAGGUUUUCGGAUUGUAAACUCCUGUCGUUAGGGACGAUAAUGACGGUAC
This 437-nucleotide ribosomal RNA is filed under the name uncultured bacterium. RNAcentral describes it as "bacterial SSU rRNA". It matches the Rfam family "Bacterial small subunit ribosomal RNA", at positions 28 to 478 of the family's 1533-position model. The record is from RNAcentral.